This is a long non-coding RNA of Drosophila ficusphila, 1097 nucleotides long. RefSeq lists it as uncharacterized. The transcript is spliced from 2 exons. Lineage: Eukaryota; Metazoa; Arthropoda; Insecta; Diptera; Drosophilidae. The record is from RefSeq and is a predicted model, not a curated record.
UGGCCGUUGGCAUUUGAAUUAAAUCGAACAAAAAAAGCAAGCAGGCUUUUAUCGGUUUUAUCCCAAAAAUAGACUUGCAACAAAUGUCCAAAUAAACGAAAUUGUUUUCAACAGACGACGUUGUUUGCUGUGUGUGUGAGUGCCGAAAUGUAACGAACUAUUUUCGAGAAAUUCAAACUCAAAAUGUUGCCCAUAAAAGGGUAGCAUGCAUACGUGGAUCGUAGGCGUACCCCUACAGCCAAUGGAAGCCCCAUUCGCGCCCCAUUCGAGGGACAUAUGUGUACGUUCUGUAUGGAGUUGCAUCCGCCGAUUUGCUUUUCCGGGAAAUCACACAUAUCCAUUCAAAGCAAGACUCCAAUUUAGAGAUUUGCAUAAUUCUUACCAGCUUGUGCGGCUUAUGCGACCUAUUAGGUAACUCUAUCUAUCGAAUCCACCGACAAGCCGCUGGCCAUCGAAACCUUUUCAGGCGGACAUUUACAUAUGCACGAGUAUCUCCGGAUCUCCCCGGAAGAUGCCACAAAAGAAGUUCAAGUUGAAGCAAGAGGGGAGGGGAAAGACGAACUUGACUUUCACUGGCUAAUUAGAAUUUCAGUUAGCGCUCGCCAAAAGAAAUGCAACAACAGCAAUGUGAUAUGAUAUUUUUUGUAUUUAGUUUCAAUUAUUAGGCAAAUUUUUACGAAAGUCGCUUUGACAUAUCUAUAAUAUGUACCGUUGGCCGACCGCUGCACUUUGUGGGAGGAGAAAGGAGAUGGAGAAGAGUGGUCUCCAAUUGGAGACUUGUUAAUCGUCAAGUUUUAGUGUGACCGCUGUACAUAUGUAAAUUCUGUAAUUCUUCAUUGGCAACCGUUUUGGGAAUCUCGCACCCAAGGGAAAAAGUCAGACAAAUACGAGUAAAAUUUACCGGGUCUUUUUUUUAACCAUUUCAUUAAAAAAAAAAAAAUAUGUUUCUACUGGGUGCAUCGCUCAUCACGCUUUUCGGAGACUGGAAACAGACCGAAACAAAUUGCAUUUCCAUUUCAUUUUAAGCAAAGAAAACAAAAACGAAAAGUAUAAUUUAACUCAAAAAUGUAAUACAAAUAAAAUCAAAUCAAAGCGUA